CCGAGUUUUCAACUCCCCAACCCUUCUGUGAACCUACCUAUCGUUGCUUCGGCGGACUCGCCCCAGCCCGGACGCGGACUGGACCAGCGGCCCGCCGGGGACCUCAAACUCUUGUAUUCCAGCAUCUUCUGAAUACGCCGCAAGGCAAAACAAAUGAAUCAAAACUUUCAACAACGGAUCUCUUGGCUCUGGCAUCGAUGAAGAACGCAGCGAAAUGCGAUAAGUAAUGUGAAUUGCAGAAUCCAGUGAAUCAUCGAAUCUUUGAACGCACAUUGCGCCCGCCAGCAUUCUGGCGGGCAUGCCUGUUCGAGCGUCAUUUCAACCCUCGACCUCCCCUUGGGGACGUCGGCGUUGGGGACCGGCAGCACACCGCCGGCCCUGAAAUGGAGUGGCGGCCCGUCCGCGGCGACCUCUGCGUAGUAAUACAGCUCGCACCGGAACCCCGACGCGGCCACGCCGUAAAACACCCAACUUCUGAACGUUGACCUCGAAUCAGGUAGGACUACCCGCU
RNAcentral lists this ribosomal RNA (511 nucleotides) under Beauveria bassiana. RNAcentral describes it as "eukaryotic LSU rRNA". The stretch from base 163 to 316 matches the Rfam family "5.8S ribosomal RNA". Lineage: Eukaryota; Fungi; Ascomycota; Sordariomycetes; Hypocreales; Cordycipitaceae. The record is from RNAcentral.